GAGUUCUCCACGGCCUUGCGGCUCUCGCCGGUGAUGUAGUAGAUGUCCUUCUGCCCCUCCUUCAUCCGGGUGACGUAGUCCUUGAGGCUGGUGAGCUCGUCGCCGCUCUUUGUCGAGUGGUAGCGGAGCAGGUCGGCGAGCUUGGCGCGGUUCUGCGAGUCCUCAUGCACGCCCAGCUUGAGGUUCUUGGAGAAGGCCUCGUAGAACUUUGCGUAGUCCUCCUUGUUCUCUGCGAUCUCGAAGAAGAGCUCGAUGCACUUCUUGACGAGGUUCUUGCGGAUGACCUUGAGGAUCUUGUUCUGCUGCAGCGUCUCGCGGGAGAUGUUGAGGGGGAGGUCGUCCGAGUCGACGACGCCCUUGACGAAGCCCAGCCACUCCGGGAUGAGCUCCUCGCAGUUGUCCAUGAUGAAGACGCGGCGCACGUAGAGCUUGAUGUUGUUCAUCUUCUUGCGGGUGUCGAAGAG
This 464-nucleotide long non-coding RNA is filed under the name Triticum aestivum (bread wheat). Its description in RNAcentral is "long non-coding RNA (TAES_LNC021730)". Lineage: Eukaryota; Viridiplantae; Streptophyta; Magnoliopsida; Poales; Poaceae. The record is from RNAcentral.